CUACUGUUCUCUAUCUAUACUGUGUCCCUUGGUAAACUCAUUAGCUCCUUUGACUUCCAAUAUCAUUUCUAUGCAGAUGACAUGCAAACCUGUCCUCUCCUGAUCUCUCCCUGUCCCUCUUGACUAGUGUCUCUAACUGCCUCUCUGCUAUUUCUAGCUGGAUGGCUGCCCACUUCCUUAAACUAAACUUGACCAAAACUGAAAUUCUGAUCUUUCCUCCCUCAAGCGUUGUUACUCCUGUGUCUGUCUCCCUCCAAGUCAACGGUGGUACCAUCAGCUCCACCAUGCAGGCUCGCUGCCUAGGUGUUCUCUUUGACUCUGAUCUCUCCUUCAAGCCUCAUGUUCAGUCUAUCGCCAAAUCCUGUCAUUUCCAUCUCAAAAACAUUGCUUGCAUCCGCCCCUACUUAACGCCAGAUGUGACUAAGGUGUCGGUCCAUUCCACUGUCCUUUCUCGCCUUGACUACUGUAAUCCGCUUCUCAGUGGUCUUACGUGCUCCCAACUUGCGCAGUUACAGUCCAUAAUGAAUGCAGGGGCGAGGCUCAUCUUCCUGUCCGCCUGCACCGCCUACGCCUCACCCUUCUGUCAGUUCUUACAUUGGCUUCCGAUAAGAUAUAGAGCUAAAUUUAAAAUUAUGAUUCUUGCUUUCAAAUCUCUACAUAAUGCUGCUCCCACCUAG
This is a non-coding RNA of Pelobates cultripes (western spadefoot toad), 677 nucleotides long. The record is from the annotation of a GenBank genome assembly. NCBI's taxonomy places the organism in Eukaryota, Metazoa, Chordata, Amphibia, Anura, Pelobatidae.